This 643-nucleotide ribosomal RNA is filed under the name uncultured bacterium. RNAcentral describes it as "bacterial SSU rRNA". It matches the Rfam family "Bacterial small subunit ribosomal RNA", at positions 232 to 885 of the family's 1533-position model. The record is from RNAcentral.
CGCGGCCUAUCAGCUUGUUGGUGGGGUAAUGGCCUACCAAGGCGACGACGGGUAGCCGGCCUGAGAGGGCGACCGGCCACACUGGGACUGAGACACGGCCCAGACUCCUACGGGAGGCAGCAGUGGGGAAUAUUGCGCAAUGGGCGAAAGCCUGACGCAGCGACGCCGCGUGAGGGAUGAAGGCCUUCGGGUUGUAAACCUCUUUCAGCAGGGAAGAAGCGAAAGUGACGGUACCUGCAGAAGAAGCACCGGCUAACUACGUGCCAGCAGCCGCGGUAAUACGUAGGGUGCAAGCGUUGUCCGGAAUUAUUGGGCGUAAAGAGCUCGUAGGCGGUCUGUCGCGUCUGCUGUGAAAACUCGGGGCUUAACCCCGGGCCUGCAGUGGGUACGGGCAGACUAGAGUGCGGUAGGGGAGACUGGAAUUCCUGGUGUAGCGGUGAAAUGCGCAGAUAUCAGGAGGAACACCGGUGGCGAAGGCGGGUCUCUGGGCCGUAACUGACGCUGAGGAGCGAAAGCGUGGGGAGCGAACAGGAUUAGAUACCCUGGUAGUCCACGCCGUAAACGUUGGGCGCUAGGUGUGGGGCUCUUUCCACGAGUUCCGUGCCGCAGCUAACGCAUUAAGCGCCCCGCCUGGGGAGUACGG